Molecule: ribosomal RNA, 253 nt
Filed under: uncultured bacterium
Lineage: Bacteria
Description: partial 16S ribosomal RNA
Rfam family: Bacterial small subunit ribosomal RNA
Source: RNAcentral
GACGAACCGUGCGAACGUUGUUCGGAAUCACUGGGCUUAAAGGGCGCGUAGGCGGUUGAUCCAGUCUGGGGUGAAAUCUUUCGGCUUAACCGGAAAAGUGCCUUGGAUACUGGUCAGCUGGAGGGAGGUAGGGGCAGUUGGAACUUCCAGUGGAGCGGUGAAAUGCGUUGAUAUUGGAAGGAACGCCGGUGGCGAAAGCGGCGCACUGGAUCUCUACUGACGCUGAGGCGCGAAAGCCAGGGGAGCAAACGGG